This 312-nucleotide ribosomal RNA is filed under the name uncultured Candidatus Sumerlaeota bacterium. RNAcentral describes it as "bacterial SSU rRNA". It matches the Rfam family "Bacterial small subunit ribosomal RNA", at positions 1069 to 1382 of the family's 1533-position model. Lineage: Bacteria; Candidatus Sumerlaeota. The record is from RNAcentral.
AGGGUGUUGGGUUAAGUCCCGCAACGGGCGCAACCCCUAUCUUUAGUUGCCAUCAGUUCGGCUGGGCACUCUAUGGAGACUGCCACCUAAAGUGGAGGAAGGUGGGGAUGACGUCAAGUCAGCAUGGCCCUUACGUCCGGGGCUACACACGUGCUACAAUGGCCGGUACAAAGGGUUGCGAAGCCGUGAGGUGGAGCGAAUCUCAAAAAGCCGGCCUCAGUUCGGAUUGGAGGCUGCAACUCGCCUCCAUGAAGUCGGAAUCGCUAGUAACCGCAGAUCAGCUACGUUGCGGUGAAUACGUUCCCGGGCCUU